RNAcentral lists this ribosomal RNA (425 nucleotides) under uncultured bacterium. RNAcentral describes it as "bacterial SSU rRNA". It matches the Rfam family "Bacterial small subunit ribosomal RNA", at positions 354 to 796 of the family's 1533-position model. The record is from RNAcentral.
GUGGGGAAUUUUGCGCAAUGGGGGAAACCCUGACGCAGCGACGCCGCGUGGAGGACGAAGGCCUUCGGGUUGUAAACUCCUUUUGCCGGGAAAGAUGGUGACGGUACCCGGCGAAUAAGCCACGGCUAACUCUGUGCCAGCAGCCGCGGUAAGACAGAGGUGGCAAGCGUUGUUCGGAAUUACUGGGCUUAAAGGGCGCGUAGGCGGUGGCGUAAGUCUGGUGUGGAAUCCCGCGGCUUAACCGCGGAACUGCAUUGGAAACUGCGUUACUUGAGUCAGCGAGGGGAGGGCGGAAUUCCUGGUGUAGCAGUGAAAUGCGUAGAUAUCAGGAGGAAGGCCGGUGGCGAAGGCGGCCCUCUGGCGCUUGACUGACGCUGAGGCGCGAAAGCGUGGGGAGCAAACAGGAUUAGAAACCCGUGUAGUCC